RNAcentral lists this long non-coding RNA (257 nucleotides) under Elaeis guineensis (African oil palm). Its description in RNAcentral is "long non-coding RNA (EGUI_LNC081277)". The record is from RNAcentral. Lineage: Eukaryota; Viridiplantae; Streptophyta; Magnoliopsida; Arecales; Arecaceae.
UCCGCUACAGAAGUUCGGUCGGAGUCCGAUCUCCGUAGAAGCCCGGAUGGGGAUCAUUUGUCGAGGAAGCUCGGUCGAAGCCUGCCUGCAAUAGAAAUCCGGAAGAAAUUCAUCCACAAUGGAAGCUCGGGUGAAGGCUAACAGUGAAAGUCCGACGCGGACCACUCGUAGUAGAAAUUUAAAGUAGACCGCUUGUAGUAGAAGCUCGGAGACCGGCCCUUGUAGGAGUUCGGAUGAGAUCUACCUGCAACAGGAGU